AACCUAUCUCUACCUACAAAAAUAAUCUGUAUUGAAGCAGUUAUUUCUUACAUAUUCACUCAACUAUAAUAUCUAAAUAUUCAAAAAUAUAAAUUUAUUAUUAUUGUUUUAUAUAAAAUUUAGAUUAAAAAAAAAUAUAAAACAUACUUCAACUAUUAUCUAUUUAACCCGACUAUUUUAUCUUUGAAAAUUUUAAUUUUACUGAUUUUUUAAUUUAUUUGAUUUACACCGGUCGGUAACUCUUUAACUUUAAAAUUUGAAUAUAUUUACAUAUUUAGCUGGUAUAUUUUAUGUAAUUCACAUAACUAUAAUUUAAUUAAUAUGCGAAGAAUAAUCAAAUGACUUAAAUUAAGUAAAUUAAAAGUAGUAAAAUCAAAAUAGUA
Molecule: long non-coding RNA, 383 nt
Filed under: Ananas comosus (pineapple)
Lineage: Eukaryota; Viridiplantae; Streptophyta; Magnoliopsida; Poales; Bromeliaceae
Description: long non-coding RNA (ACOM_LNC010888)
Source: RNAcentral